RNAcentral lists this transfer RNA (76 nucleotides) under Pseudomonadota bacterium. RNAcentral's name for it is "Proteobacteria bacterium tRNA-Asn". It matches the Rfam family "tRNA". From Rfam's summary of the family: Transfer RNA (tRNA) molecules are approximately 80 nucleotides in length. Their secondary structure includes four short double-helical elements and three loops (D, anti-codon, and T loops). Lineage: Bacteria; Pseudomonadati; Pseudomonadota. The record is from RNAcentral.
UCCUGGUUAGCUCAGUUGGUAGAGCAGGUGACUGUUAAUCACUUGGUCGGCGGUUCGAGUCCGUCACCAGGAGCCA